GCCUUCAUGGUGCAGUGGUCAGCACCCUCGACGCCUAUUCGAGAGGUCCGUGGUUCGAGUCCCGGCGAGGGCA
This 73-nucleotide transfer RNA is filed under the name Stegodyphus dumicola. RNAcentral describes it as "tRNA-Arg". It matches the Rfam family "tRNA". From Rfam's summary of the family: Transfer RNA (tRNA) molecules are approximately 80 nucleotides in length. Their secondary structure includes four short double-helical elements and three loops (D, anti-codon, and T loops). The record is from RNAcentral. Lineage: Eukaryota; Metazoa; Arthropoda; Arachnida; Araneae; Eresidae.